Ipomoea nil (Japanese morning glory) is the source of this 80-nucleotide transfer RNA. It matches the Rfam family "tRNA". From Rfam's summary of the family: Transfer RNA (tRNA) molecules are approximately 80 nucleotides in length. Their secondary structure includes four short double-helical elements and three loops (D, anti-codon, and T loops). The record is from Rfam. NCBI's taxonomy places the organism in Eukaryota, Viridiplantae, Streptophyta, Magnoliopsida, Solanales, Convolvulaceae.
GUGGUGUGCCGAGUGGUUAUCGGGCAUGACUAGAAAUCAUGUGGGCUUUGCCCGCGCAGGUUCGAAUCCUGCCACUCACG